RNAcentral lists this transfer RNA (83 nucleotides) under Myxococcales bacterium. Its description in RNAcentral is "tRNA-Tyr". It matches the Rfam family "tRNA". Rfam says of the family: Transfer RNA (tRNA) molecules are approximately 80 nucleotides in length. Lineage: Bacteria; Pseudomonadati; Myxococcota; Myxococcia; Myxococcales. The record is from RNAcentral.
CCGUGGGAAGCCCAGAGGUAGGGCAGCGGACUGUAAAUCCGCGGUGCUUGCACGUGCAGGUUCGACUCCUGCCCCACGGACCA